This 331-nucleotide ribosomal RNA is filed under the name uncultured Bacteroidota bacterium. RNAcentral's name for it is "bacterial SSU rRNA". It matches the Rfam family "Bacterial small subunit ribosomal RNA", at positions 28 to 351 of the family's 1533-position model. Lineage: Bacteria; Pseudomonadati; Bacteroidota. The record is from RNAcentral.
GAUGAACGCUAGCGGCAGGCUUAACACAUGCAAGUCGAAGGGCAACGGGGAGAGUGCUUGCACUCUCUGCCGGCGACUGGCGCACGGGUGAGUAACACGUAUGCAACCUGCCCUCCACAGGGGGACAACCUUCCGAAAGGGAGGCUAAUCCCGCGUAUAUCCCUUGGGGGCAUCCUUGGGGGAGGAAAGGAUUACCGGUGGAGGAUGGGCAUGCGGCGCAUUAGGCAGUAGGCGGGGUAACGGCCCACCUAACCGACGAUGCGUAGGGGUUCUGAGAGGAAGGUCCCCCACACUGGUACUGAGACACGGACCAGACUCCUACGGGAGGCAG